This 578-nucleotide ribosomal RNA is filed under the name uncultured bacterium. RNAcentral's name for it is "partial 16S ribosomal RNA". It matches the Rfam family "Bacterial small subunit ribosomal RNA", at positions 355 to 920 of the family's 1533-position model. The record is from RNAcentral.
UGGGGAAUUUUGGACAAUGGGCGAAAGCCUGAUCCAGCAAUGCCGCGUGUGUGAAGAAGGCCUUCGGGUUGUAAAGCACUUUUGUCCGGAAAGAAAUCCUCUGGGUUAAUACCUCGGGGGAGUGACGGUACCGGAAGAAUAAGCACCGGCUAACUACGUGCCAGCAGCCGCGGUAAUACGUAGGGUGCAAGCGUUAAUCGGAAUUACUGGGCGUAAAGCGUGCGCAGGCGGUUUUUGUAAGACGGAUGUGAAAUCCCCGGGCUUAACCUGGGAACUGCAUUCGUGACUGCAAGGCUAGAGUAUGGCAGAGGGGGGUAGAAUUCCACGUGUAGCAGUGAAAUGCGUAGAGAUGUGGAGGAAUACCGAUGGCGAAGGCAGCCCCCUGGCAAGUACUGACGCUCAUGCACGAAAGCGUGGGGAGCAAACAGGAUUAGAUACCCCUGGUAGUCCACGCCCCUAAAACGAUGUCAACUAGUUGUUGGGGGAUUCAUUUUCCUUAGUAACGUAGCUAACGCGUGAAGUUGACCGCCUGGGGAGUACGGUCGCAAGAUUAAAAACUUAAAGGAAUUGACGGGGGU